Molecule: long non-coding RNA, 761 nt
Filed under: Homo sapiens (human)
Lineage: Eukaryota; Metazoa; Chordata; Mammalia; Primates; Hominidae
Description: HSALNT0357293
Source: RNAcentral
UGGGUAAUGUUGGUCUUUAGUUGGUGCUCAAAUGUGAAUGAUACCAGGACCACACUUUCUUAAACUUUUGUGGGUUCUUCGGUAAAUAUUUACUGCAGUGAAAUCUCUGCUUCUCAUUUUAACCAUCUUUUAUAUCAAGAUGUGAAAGGCAUCAUGUUUUCUCAGUAAGAGGACUCACAUGCUUGGUUUGUUUCCCUGUCUUCCCCCAGUGGUUUUUUUUUUUCUUUUCUUUUCUCUCUGUCUCUUACACACAAACACAAUUUUCCGAUAGAUUCUGUUAGGACCAAGAAACAAUAGCUGAUCAUUGUGGGAUCCUCAGACCUGUGAGAUGAUGUAAUCUUCCUUUGCUCCUACCUGUCCUGUACUUGGCACAGCCUUGCUUCUAGAAGUUUCCUCUAGUAAAUUCAUUUCAUGGAUGCUGAGAGAACCAUCGCCUGUUAUUGACUCUUGCUUCUCAGAAACCUACAGUUCUCCUCGUAAUGGAGCAGUCUUCACAGCACUGUUCGUGUGACCCUCCUAUGACAGUCAUGGCAGGAAAGGAAAGCAGAAAGCUUCUGCAGUACUCAGCUGGGUCAAGGUAGAACUUCAAAGACCAAGCAGAAAGCUUCUGCAGUACUCAGCUGGGUCAAGGUAGAACUUCAAAGACCAAGCAGAAAGCUUCUGCAGUACUCAGCUGGGUCAAGGUAGAACUUCAAAGACCAAGCAGAAAGCUUCUGCAGUACUCAGCUGGGUCAAAGACCAGCUGCACUGGAGAAGAUGGC